Molecule: ribosomal RNA, 429 nt
Filed under: uncultured bacterium
Lineage: Bacteria
Description: bacterial SSU rRNA
Rfam family: Bacterial small subunit ribosomal RNA
Source: RNAcentral
GGGCCCGCACAAGCGGUGGAGUAUGUGGUUUAAUUCGAUGAUACGCGAGGAACCUUACCAGGGCUUAAAUGUAACGGGACAGAUCUAGAGAUAGAUCCUUCUUCGGACUCAUUACAAGGUGCUGCAUGGUUGUCGUCAGCUCGUGCCGUGAGGUGUCAGGUUAAGUCCUAUAACGAGCGCAACCCCUGUUGUUAGUUGCCAGCGAGUAAUGUCGGGAACUCUAACGGGACUGCCGGUGCAAACCGCGAGGAAGGUGGGGAUGACGUCAAAUCAUCACGGCCCUUACGUCCUGGGCUACACACGUGCUACAAUGGCCGGUACAGAGGGCAGCCACACCGCAAGGUGGAGCGAAUCUUCAAAGCCGGUCUCAGUUCGGAUCGCAGUCUGCAACUCGACUGCGUGAAGCUGGAAUCGCUAGUAAUCGGAUAU